AGUGAACGCUGGCGGUAGGCCUAACACAUGCAAGUCGAACGGCAGCACAGUAAGAGCUUGCUCUUACGGGUGGCGAGUGGCGGACGGGUGAGGAAUACAUCGGACUCUACUUUUUCGUGGGGGAUCACGUAGGGAAACUUACGCUAAUACCGCAUACGACCUACGGGUGAAAGCAGGGGAUAUUCGGACCUUGCGCGAUUGAAUGAGCCGCUGUCGGAUUAGCUAGUUGGCGGGGUAAAGGCCCACCAAGGCGACGAUCCGUAGCUGGUCUGAGAGGAUGAUCAGCGACACUGGAACUGAGACAGGGUCCAGACGCCUACGGGAGGCAGCAGUGGGGAAUAUUGGACAAUGGGCGCAAGCCUGAUCCAGCCAUACCGCGUGGGUGAAGAAGGCCUUCGGGUUGGAAAGCCCUUUUGUUGGGAAAGAAAAGCAGCAGGUUAAUACCCCGCUGUUCUGACGGUACCCAAAGAAUAAGCACCGGCUAACUUCGUG
This 492-nucleotide ribosomal RNA is filed under the name uncultured bacterium. Its description in RNAcentral is "partial 16S ribosomal RNA". It matches the Rfam family "Bacterial small subunit ribosomal RNA", at positions 29 to 507 of the family's 1533-position model. The record is from RNAcentral.